UUUCCUGUGGCUCAGGUGGCAGAGCAUUGUGCUAACAACACAGAGGUUGUGGGUUCAAACCCCAGGGACUGACAAA
Non-coding RNA from Danionella cerebrum, 76 nucleotides. Lineage: Eukaryota; Metazoa; Chordata; Actinopteri; Cypriniformes; Danionidae. The record is from the annotation of a GenBank genome assembly.